UACGUAGGGGGCAAGCGUUGUCCGGAUUUAUUGGGCGUAAAGCGCUCGCAGGUGGUUCGUCGCGUCGUGCGUGAAAGACCCCGGCUCAACUGGGGAGUGUCGUGCGAUACGGGCGGACUAGAGGCCAGUAGGGGGAUGCGGAAUUCCGGGUGUAGUGGUGGAAUGCGUAGAGAUCCGGAGGAACACCAGCGGCGAAGGCGGCAUCCUGGACUGGUCCUGACACUCAGGAGCGAAAGCGUGGGGAGCGAUCCGG
RNAcentral lists this ribosomal RNA (253 nucleotides) under uncultured bacterium. RNAcentral's name for it is "partial 16S ribosomal RNA". It matches the Rfam family "Bacterial small subunit ribosomal RNA", at positions 524 to 776 of the family's 1533-position model. The record is from RNAcentral.